RNAcentral lists this long non-coding RNA (283 nucleotides) under Sorghum bicolor (sorghum). Its description in RNAcentral is "long non-coding RNA (SBIC_LNC008394)". Lineage: Eukaryota; Viridiplantae; Streptophyta; Magnoliopsida; Poales; Poaceae. The record is from RNAcentral.
UGCCGCUAUUUUACUGACCCUAACUAUAUAGUUGAAGACUCUAAGCAGGUCAGGACAAGAAGAAGACGACGCAACCGCAACCAGAGGAGGCAAAUCAUCAAGGACGGAUGAGCAGACUACGAAGGAGAAGUAGUAAGGUCUGAAGACAUACAGCUUGAUCAAAACUGUCCUGAGGAGACCGUAGCACUGAGUCAGGUGUGUAGAGAGAAGAUAGUUAUACAUGAAGAGCAGGCGCCGCCGGAACCAACGACUACGCCAUCCAGCGAAUCCCAAGACGACUGAG